This 511-nucleotide ribosomal RNA is filed under the name uncultured bacterium. RNAcentral's name for it is "partial 16S ribosomal RNA". It matches the Rfam family "Bacterial small subunit ribosomal RNA", at positions 28 to 523 of the family's 1533-position model. The record is from RNAcentral.
GACGAACGCUGGCGGCGUGCCUAAUACAUGCAAGUCGAGCGAAUCGAUGGGAGCUUGCUCCCUGAGAUUAGCGGCGGACGGGUGAGUAACACGUGGGUAACCUGCCUGUAAGACUGGGAUAACUUCGGGAAACCGGAGCUAAUACCGGAUACUUUCUUUUCUCGCAUGAGGGAAGAUGGAAAGAUGGUUCUGCUAUCACUUACAGAUGGACCCGCGGCGCAUUAGCUAGUUGGUGAGGUAACGGCUCACCAAGGCAACGAUGCGUAGCCGACCUGAGAGGGUGAUCGGCCACACUGGGACUGAGACACGGCCCAGACUCCUACGGGAGGCAGCAGUAGGGAAUCUUCCGCAAUGGACGAAAGUCUGACGGAGCAACGCCGCGUGAGCGAAGAAGGCCUUCGGGUCGUAAAGCUCUGUUGUUAGGGAAGAACAAGUACGAGAGUAACUGCUCGUACCUUGACGGUACCUAACCAGAAAGCCACGGCUAACUACGUGCCAGCCGCCGCGGUAA